Molecule: ribosomal RNA, 495 nt
Filed under: uncultured bacterium
Lineage: Bacteria
Description: partial 16S ribosomal RNA
Rfam family: Bacterial small subunit ribosomal RNA
Source: RNAcentral
GACGAACGCUGGCGGCGUGCCUAAUACAUGCAAGUAGAACGCUGAAGGAGGAGCUUGCUUCUCGGGAUGAGUUGCGAACGGGUGAGUAACGCGUAGGUAACCUGCCUGGUAGCGGGGGAUAACUAUUGGAAACGAUAGCUAAUACCGCAUAAUAGUAGAUGUUGCAUGACAUUUGCUUAAAAGUUGCACUUGCAUCACUACCAGAUGGACCUGCGUUGUAUUAGCUAGUUGGUGGGGUAACGGCUCACCAAGGCGACGAUACAUAGCCGACCGGGGAGGGGGGUCGGCCAGCCUGGGAGGGAGACCCGGCCCAGAGGGCUACGGGAGGCAGCAGUAGGGAAUCUUCGGGAAUGGACGGAAGUCUGACCGAGAAACGCCGAGGGAGUGAAGAAGGAUGUCGGAUCGUAAAGCUCGGUUGUAAGGGAAGAACGAGUGUGAGAGUGGAAAGUUCACACUGUGACGGUAACUGACCAGAAAGGGACGGCUAACUACGUG